CCUACGGGUGGCAGCAGUGGGGAAUAUUGGACAAUGGGGGCAACCCUGAUCCAGCCAUGCCGCGUGUGUGAAGAAGGCCCUCGGGUUGUAAAGCACUUUCAGUGAGGAAGAACGCCUGGUGGUUAAUACCCAUCAGGAAAGACAUCACUCACAGAAGAAGCACCGACUAACUCCGUGCCAGCAGCCGCGGUAAUACGGAGGGUGCGAGCGUUAAUCGGAAUUACUGGGCGUAAAGCGCGCGUAGGUGGCUUGAUAAGCCGGUUGUGAAAGCCCCGGGCUCAACCUGGGAACGGCAUCCGGAACUGUCAAGCUAGAGUGCAGGAGAGGAAGGUAGAAUUCCCGGUGUAGCGGUGAAAUGCGUAGAGAUCGGGAGGAAUACCAGUGGCGAAGGCGGCCUUCUGGACUGACACUGACACUGAGGUGCGAAAGCGUGGGUAGCAAACAGGAUUAGAUACCCUAGUAGUC
Molecule: ribosomal RNA, 465 nt
Filed under: Vreelandella stevensii
Lineage: Bacteria; Pseudomonadati; Pseudomonadota; Gammaproteobacteria; Oceanospirillales; Halomonadaceae
Description: partial 16S ribosomal RNA
Rfam family: Bacterial small subunit ribosomal RNA
Source: RNAcentral